RNAcentral lists this ribosomal RNA (713 nucleotides) under Vibrio cidicii. RNAcentral describes it as "bacterial SSU rRNA". It matches the Rfam family "Bacterial small subunit ribosomal RNA", at positions 337 to 1042 of the family's 1533-position model. Lineage: Bacteria; Pseudomonadati; Pseudomonadota; Gammaproteobacteria; Vibrionales; Vibrionaceae. The record is from RNAcentral.
UCCUACGGGAGGCAGCAGUGGGGAAUAUUGCACAAUGGGCGCAAGCCUGAUGCAGCCAUGCCGCGUGUGUGAAGAAGGCCUUCGGGUUGUAAAGCACUUUCAGUAGGGAGGAAGGUGGUAGUGUUAAUAGCGCUAUCAUUUGACGUUACCUACAGAAGAAGCACCGGCUAACUCCGUGCCAGCAGCCGCGGUAAUACGGAGGGUGCGAGCGUUAAUCGGAAUUACUGGGCGUAAAGCGCAUGCAGGUGGUUUGUUAAGUCAGAUGUGAAAGCCCCGGGCUCAACCUGGGAAUUGCAUUUGAAACUGGCAAACUAGAGUACUGUAGAGGGGGGUAGAAUUUCAGGUGUAGCGGUGAAAUGCGUAGAGAUCUGAAGGAAUACCGGUGGCGAAGGCGGCCCCCUGGACAGAUACUGACACUCAGAUGCGAAAGCGUGGGGAGCAAACAGGAUUAGAUACCCUGGUAGUCCACGCCGUAAACGAUGUCUACUUGGAGGUUGUGGCCUUGAGCCGUGGCUUUCGGAGCUAACGCGUUAAGUAGACCGCCUGGGGAGUACGGUCGCAAGAUUAAAACUCAAAUGAAUUGACGGGGGCCCGCACAAGCGGUGGAGCAUGUGGUUUAAUUCGAUGCAACGCGAAGAACCUUACCUACUCUUGACAUCCAGAGAAUCCGGCGGAGACGCAGGAGUGCCUUCGGGAGCUCUGAGACAGGUGCU